Non-coding RNA from Chitinophaga ginsengisegetis, 120 nucleotides. Lineage: Bacteria; Pseudomonadati; Bacteroidota; Chitinophagia; Chitinophagales; Chitinophagaceae. The record is from Rfam.
AAAGCAGUAGUUCAAUGGUUGAACACCGGAUCCUGUAGUUUUAAAAUUAUCUUCAGGGUCAAUUAAAACUUACUUCCUGAUUCCAAUCCGGAGUUGCUGGUUCGAAUCCAGCCUGCUUUA